Long non-coding RNA from Alosa sapidissima (American shad), 1188 nucleotides. RefSeq lists it as uncharacterized. The transcript is spliced from 4 exons. The record is from RefSeq and is a predicted model, not a curated record. NCBI's taxonomy places the organism in Eukaryota, Metazoa, Chordata, Actinopteri, Clupeiformes, Clupeidae.
GUAGGUGGCAGUGGUGGCGCUGCAUAGAGGGGAAACUGCUACACUGAUUCUUAGAGAAGAAGACAGAAAUCGCAAACAGCAGAAGGACAGCAGAACGAUAGUGAGCUGAAGCCAUAUUUAGAUUUUCCACACUGAGAAGAAAAGUUAAAAAUAACAUUGAAGAGCUAGUUAAAAGGGGUUUUCCCACCAAACCUACUUCUAAGGAAGGAAUAACAGCAAAGGGUCGAAAUUACGACAAGGAGUUUACUUACUUGUAUGAGUUUUCUCAGCCCAUUAUGAUGUGGUGAAGUGACUGUGCUGUGGCAGAGACUGUAGCGUGUGUGCUUUACAUGAGAGAGGUCAGGGGUUCAAGACUGAGUCGAUGGGUGUGAGGUAUGGGUAGGCCUGUCAUGGGAGGCGGAAAAAUGGCCAGCAGGAAGGUGUGCAGCAGCCACUGGAAUGACCUCUUCCACCUCCUCCACUAACAGCUCCUCAUCAGCCGGCAGUGGGAUGUGAUCCUGAAGGGCCAUGUUGCAGAAGCGCCGCCACUAAAACUACACUGCACGCCUUUGCAGGAUGGAGCUUCAGGCCACCAGCGGAUUUGCUCACACACCUUUCCACAUGCCCAGGGCCCUCUCCAAAACAACGCGGGUCCGGCUAUGGGCGUUGUUGUAUCGCGCCUCUGCCUCGCUGUUGGGCUCCUAGAUGGAGCAGUUGACAUGCUUGUAUUAUCAUAGGGGGUUGAUGGAAUAAAGUAGGUCUUGAAAUGUCAGUGCACUCAGGGAAUAUAGACAUGCAUUUGAAAACAACAGUAUAGACUUUGCUACUAUCUCAGCAGCAGAAGGCAACAACAUGAGCAGCACCUACAAUAACACUGUGUGUGUGUGUUUGUGUGUGUGUGUUAGUACAGCUGGCGCAGAUCCUUCAACCAUUUGAGCAUUGAAACAUUUGUGCUAUGUGAACUGUCAUUUUGUGGUUGUGAUUCAACACACAACUUCAUAACUACAAUGGAUAAAAAGUAAUGGUAAAAAAACUGUAUCUGUGCAUUUAAAAUAUCAUGAAAUACUUGUGUGUGGUAACAGUAUUCAGUUUUCAGUGUCACAAUGAAAACACAUAACAAGGGCAACAUUGGAAAAAUGCUGCAUAAAGGCAUGACAAAAUCGCAUUGAAAUGAAGGGCAAUCAUACAGUAAAGUAUUCAUUUAUAUAG